RNAcentral lists this unclassified non-coding RNA (315 nucleotides) under plant metagenome. Its description in RNAcentral is "partial contains 5.8S ribosomal RNA, internal transcribed spacer 2, and large subunit ribosomal RNA". The stretch from base 1 to 106 matches the Rfam family "5.8S ribosomal RNA", at positions 50 to 154 of the family's 154-position model. The record is from RNAcentral.
GAAAUGCGAUAAUUAAUGUGAAUUGCAGAAUUCAGUGAAUCAUCGAGUCUUUGAACGCACAUUGCACCCCCUGGUAUUCCGGGGGGGCAUGCCUGUCCGAGCGUCAUUGCUGCCCUCAAGCACGGCUUGUGUGUUGGGCUUCCGUCCCUGGCAACGGGGACGGGCCCAAAAGGCAGUGGCGGCACCAUGUCUGGUCCUCGAGCGUAUGGGGCUUUGUCACCCGCUCCCGUAGGUCCAGCUGGCAGCUAGCCUCGCAACCAAUCUUUUUAACCAGGUUGACCUCGGAUCAGGUAGGGAUACCCGCUGAACUUAAGC